GGGAGUAUAGCUCAGUGGAAGAGUACAUACUUCGUGUGCAUGAGGUCCUGGAUUCAAUCCCCAGUACCUCCU
RNAcentral lists this transfer RNA (72 nucleotides) under Camelus bactrianus (Bactrian camel). It matches the Rfam family "tRNA". Rfam says of the family: Transfer RNA (tRNA) molecules are approximately 80 nucleotides in length. Their secondary structure includes four short double-helical elements and three loops (D, anti-codon, and T loops). Further hydrogen bonds mediate the characteristic L-shaped molecular structure. tRNAs have two regions of fundamental functional importance: the anti-codon, which is responsible for specific mRNA codon recognition, and the 3' end, to which the tRNAs corresponding amino acid is attached (by aminoacyl-tRNA synthetases). tRNAs cope with the degeneracy of the genetic code in two manners: having more than one tRNA (with a specific anti-codon) for a particular amino acid; and 'wobble' base-pairing, i.e. permitting non-standard base-pairing at the 3rd anti-codon position. The record is from Rfam by way of RNAcentral. Lineage: Eukaryota; Metazoa; Chordata; Mammalia; Artiodactyla; Camelidae. RNAcentral also lists the same sequence under 2 other names.